AUUGAACGCUGGCGGCAUGCCUUACACAUGCAAGUCGAACGGCAGCAUGAUCUAGCUUGCUAGAUUGAUGGCGAGUGGCGAACGGGUGAGUAAUACAUCGGAACGUGCCCUGUAGUGGGGGAUAACUAGUCGAAAGAUUAGCUAAUACCGCAUACGACCUGAGGGUGAAAGUGGGGGACCGCAAGGCCUCAUGCUAUAGGAGCGGCCGAUGUCUGAUUAGCUAGUUGGUGAGGUAAAGGCUCACCAAGGCGACGAUCAGUAGCUGGUCUGAGAGGACGAUCAGCCACACUCGGACUGAGACACGGCCCAGACUCCUACGGGAGGCAGCAGUGGGGAAUUUUGGACAAUGGGCGAAAGCCUGAUCCAGCAAUGCCGCGUGUGUGAAGAAGGCCUUCGGGUUGUAAAGCACUUUUGUCCGGAAAGAAAUGGCUCUGGUUAAUACCUGGGGUCGAUGACGGUACCGGAAGAAUAAGGACCGGCUAACUACGUG
RNAcentral lists this ribosomal RNA (490 nucleotides) under uncultured bacterium. RNAcentral describes it as "partial 16S ribosomal RNA". It matches the Rfam family "Bacterial small subunit ribosomal RNA", at positions 30 to 507 of the family's 1533-position model. The record is from RNAcentral.